AAACAGGUAUAGCAUUAUUGCAAGAUUUAUAUAUUGCCAACCCAGCCAUUAGAUUAUAUUCCUAACACCCCUGCCUUAUACUGUUGCAGGCAAGUGAUGGUCCAAUCUCGUUUUAAAAACCUCCCGUGAGGGAGCCCCCACAACUUCAGAAGAGUCUCCACAUCUUUUCUACAUUGUGUUGACCAAAAGUGAAGUGUGGCCUUACCAAGGCAUUAUAAUCAGUGGAUGAUUUGGACCAGUUUGACUGAACCAGUAGUGGUUUGACGGCCUGGGUCGCUGGAACUGGCAGUAACCCAGGCCGGCCACGCCCCCGAACCAGUUAUCCCGGCGAUGCCGUAGGCACCAGCAUCUUGUUUUUUGCUUCUGUGCAUGUGCAGAACAAUUUUUAUUGCACAUGGCAUGCCCAUGAGCGAACCUUCAGUAGCGACUGUCGGAACCCACCCCUGAUUAUAAAGUGGUAUUAACCCUUCA
This is a long non-coding RNA of Thamnophis elegans (Western terrestrial garter snake), 471 nucleotides long. RefSeq lists it as uncharacterized. The transcript has 2 exons. The record is from RefSeq and is a predicted model, not a curated record. Lineage: Eukaryota; Metazoa; Chordata; Lepidosauria; Squamata; Natricidae.